RNAcentral lists this unclassified non-coding RNA (309 nucleotides) under uncultured Chaetomiaceae. Its description in RNAcentral is "sequence contains ITS1". The stretch from base 1 to 108 matches the Rfam family "5.8S ribosomal RNA", at positions 50 to 154 of the family's 154-position model. Lineage: Eukaryota; Fungi; Ascomycota; Sordariomycetes; Sordariales. The record is from RNAcentral.
GAAAUGCGAUAAGUAAUGUGAAUUGCAGAAUUCCGUGAAUCAUCGAAUCUUUGAACGCACAUUGCGCCCGCCAGAUUCUCCCUGGCGGGCAUGCCUGUUCGAGCGUCAUUUCGCCCAUCAAGCCCACGGCUUGUGUUGGGGACCUGCGGCCGCCCGCAGGCCCCGAAAACCAGUGGCGGGCUCGCUAGUCACACCGAGCGUAGUAGCAACGCGAAACCUCGCUCAGGGCGUGCUGCGGGUUCCGGCCGUAAAACGCCAACACACCCCAAGGUUGACCUCGGAUCAGGUAGGAGGACCCGCUGAACUUAA